GUUAUUUUGGCAGAGUAGUGCAAUAGAUUUAGAUUCUAUAUAUGUAGUUUAAAUUACAAAUAACA
RNAcentral lists this transfer RNA (65 nucleotides) under Deporaus betulae. RNAcentral's name for it is "tRNA-Leu". It matches the Rfam family "tRNA". From Rfam's summary of the family: Transfer RNA (tRNA) molecules are approximately 80 nucleotides in length. Their secondary structure includes four short double-helical elements and three loops (D, anti-codon, and T loops). The record is from RNAcentral. Lineage: Eukaryota; Metazoa; Arthropoda; Insecta; Coleoptera; Attelabidae.